This 422-nucleotide ribosomal RNA is filed under the name uncultured bacterium. RNAcentral's name for it is "bacterial SSU rRNA". It matches the Rfam family "Bacterial small subunit ribosomal RNA", at positions 358 to 773 of the family's 1533-position model. The record is from RNAcentral.
GGAAUUUUUCGCAAUGGGCGCAAGCCUGACGAAGCAACGCCGCGUAGAGGAUGGAGGUCUUCGGAUUGUAAACUCCUGUUGCCUGGGACGAAUUGUUCGGACCUAACACGUCUGAAUUUGACGGUACCAGGUGAUGAAGCCCCGGCUAACUCUGUUCCAGCAGCCGCGGUAAUACAGAGGGGGCAAGCGUUGUUCGGAAUUACUGGGCGUAAAGGGCGCGUAGGCGGCCCUCUAAGUCGAACGUGAAAUCCCUGGGCUCAACCCAGGAACUGCGUCCGAGACUGGGGGGCUGGAAUCCGGGAGAGGGAUGUGGAAUUCCAGGUGUAGCGGUGAAAUGCGUAGAUAUCUGGAGGAACAUCGGUGGCGAAGGCGGCAUCCUGGACCGGUAUUGACGCUGAGGCGCGAAAGCCAGGGGAGCAAAC